Theobroma umbraticum is the source of this 2380-nucleotide non-coding RNA. The record is from RefSeq and is a predicted model, not a curated record. NCBI's taxonomy places the organism in Eukaryota, Viridiplantae, Streptophyta, Magnoliopsida, Malvales, Malvaceae.
UUAAAAGUGAAAAAAAUGGCGGGAUCUGUGGUAGUCGUAGAAACCAAUCGCCAAGAGAACGAUAAGCCAGUAAACGCCAUUAAAGACCAAUGGCAAGUUCUUUUCGCUCGCUUCAUGAACUAUCCAUCUCUCCCUUCCACGUGUCCCUCUCUCGUACCUCUCCCUAAGAACCGACGAUUUCGCGCGCCUCAAGGCAACUGGAUCGCCACUUCUUUCCCAGCCGCUUCUCUACAGAUCAUCAGUGAUCUCUCAGGCUCCGAAGCGAUCCUCGUCGUUCGUUUAAGCGAGAAGAUCCUUGAAGAGCACUAUAUUUCCAAGCUGCAUUUCUCCUGGCCUCAGGUUCAAUGCAUCCCUGAAUUUCCUGCUAGAGGUAGCAGAUCUGUGUUUGUAAGCUACAAAGACUCUGCCUACGAGAUCCAGAAGUUUGCAUUGCGAUUUUCUACACUUCGUGAUGUAGAAUCAUUCAUGAAUACUCUGAGGGAGAACUUGAAGGGUGAGGAUGAAAUUGAGCCUUUAAACAGAGAUUUUGGAUCUGACUUUUCAACCCAAACAGAGUUCAUAUCUAGUAAUGGACUUCCUUCUAGAGUUUGUCAGGAGUUGAGUGAUAUGACUGCUGGCAAUUCUUACACUCCACAGAUGGAUCCCAGUUUGAGCUAUGAAAUUGAACAGCAGUCAUUUGAUCAAGAUGCCAUCCUUAAUCACAAUUCUGAAGGGAUUUUUCCAGCCUUGCCUCCCAGUUUCACAUCCUUACUGACUGAUUGCCGCUCUACUGCUGAACAAGCUGCCAAACAACCAACAGUAUCUGAGGAAAUUGAUCUCAAAUCUCAAAUUGUGAGAUACAUGGAAGAUUCUUCCUUCCAAGAGCCGACAGAGUCUUCCUCUUCUUCCCAUUGAAGCAAAAUCUUGAUGGCAGUCUCUUCAAGCUCUCGAUCCUCACUGUCAGUGAUCGAAGAUCCACACUCAGCCUUCCCUACAUAAUUCGGACUACCAUGGUUCAGUCAGCAUCACCCCCAAAUUAACUUCCAGCAACUAUUCUUUUUGGAGCAGAUCUUUCACCUUGGCCCUCUCAAUUUGCAAUAAAACAGGCUUCAUUGAUGGUACAAUUCCAGAACCUCAGGUUUUAGAUGACCUUUACAUGGCUUGGACCAGGUGCAACAAUUUAAUUUUGGCCUAGUUAUUGGAGUCAAUCAUGCCCCCAAUAGCUUCUACUGUGUUCUAUAUGAGCACAGCCUCACAAAUUUGGGACACACUAAAGAGGAGGUUUUCACAGCUAGAUGAUGUGAAGAUUUGUAACCUUCAGUUUUUUCUUUGCAGCAUCUCAUAGGGCACAAGGUCAGCGGAUGAAUAUUUUACUGAGCUUAUUACUCUGUGGGAAAAACUUAAACUAUUUAGACCAUUACCAUAUUGCAAAUGUGGAAAUAUAACCAGAAAUGUUUCCAAAAGUUCACUGAUCAGUAUGAGAAAGAUAAUGUUUUUAGGUUUUUAAAUGGAUUGAACGAAACCUACUCUGCCUUGAAGUCUCAGAUUAUCAUGAUGAAGCAUUUUCCUUCACUGGAUGAGGCUUACAAUCUAAUUCUUAGAGAAGAGUCUUGGAAAAAUCUGCACUUGCAGUCUCAUCCUUUGAUUGAAUCAUCUGCUAUGGCUGCUGUAUGUGAUGGCAAACCAAGAAACAAGUCUGAUAUUGUAUGCACACGCUGUGGGAAGAAGGGACAUUUGAAGGAAAAAUGUUACAGACUAAUUGGCUUCCCAGCAGAUUUUAAGUUCACUAAAGGCAAGUUUAAUGCAAGAAAAAGGAAUUCUUUAUCAACAGCAUCAUGACAGCAGCUCAUGCUGAUCAGAAUGAGCUGCUGGAAAACAUUACAAGUUCUAUGUCUGAAAUUAGUCUUUCAAACGAUAAAGUUCAGAAGCUUAAAGCUCUUAUCAGUGAGCAUACUUCAACUGGUGCAUAUGAUCAUGUCACAGCAAGCAAUCAGCCUACCAAACUCCCACUAAUCAAUUCAUCACAGACAGAUAUGUUGAGUAAAGUGGAGAAAAUCAUCAAUGAAGUUGAAGCUGAUAUGGUGCUGUGAUUGGCUUGUUGCCUGUGGCUUUUCUGGUUGUGUCUGAAGCACUUUGUCAUUUAUUUCUGGUUCCCCAAGUCAUGAAGUGGUGUUCAUCAACUACAUCAGGUGAUGGCCCACGGUAAAGUUGUCUCGACCCUGUUAGCUUUCAAGUAUGUUUUUGCAAAAUAAAAUAGUAAUUGCACAAUAGGAUUGUAUAGCGAAUGUACAUCAGCUGCAAAAGUAAAUAUAGCACUAUCUUUAAAAUCUGGUUUUGUUCAUUGUUUUCAUGCUGUGAUCUCUCUGCAUAUUUUGUGGUGUCUUUGUCAUAAUAUGUAGUA